AAUCAACGCUGGCGGCGUGCCUCAGACAUGCAAGUCGAACGCGAAAGGCCCCUUCGGGGGCCCGGUAGAGUGGCGCACGGGUGAGUAACACGUAGGUAAUUUGCCUUCGGGUGGGGAAUAACAGCCGGAAACGGCUGCUAAUACCGCAUAAUGCAGCGGCUCGACAUCGAGACAGUUGUUAAAGCGGGGGAGUCGCAAGACCUCGCGCCUGAAGAGAAGCCUGCGGCAGAUUAGCUUGUUGGUGAGGUAAUGGCUCACCAAGGCGACGAUCUGUAACCGGCCUGAGAGGGCGGUCGGUCACACUGACACUGACAUACGGGUCAGACUCCUACGGGAGGCAGCAGUCGGG
RNAcentral lists this ribosomal RNA (349 nucleotides) under uncultured bacterium. RNAcentral describes it as "bacterial SSU rRNA". It matches the Rfam family "Bacterial small subunit ribosomal RNA", at positions 32 to 359 of the family's 1533-position model. The record is from RNAcentral.